CUACGGGGUGCAGCAGUAGGGAAUCUUAGACAAUGGGGGAAACCCUGAUCUAGCCAUGCCGCGUGAGUGAUGAAGGCCUUAGGGUUGUAAAGCUCUUUCGCUGGGGAAGAUAAUGACGGUACCCAGUAAAGAAACCCCGGCUAACUCCGUGCCAGCAGCCGCGGUAAUACGGAGGGGGUUAGCGUUGCUCGGAAUUACUGGGCGUAAAGCGCGCGUAGGCGGGCUAUUAAGUCAGGGGUGAAAUCCCGGGGCUCAACCCCGGAACUGCCUUUGAUACUGGUAGUCUUGAGUUCGAGAGAGGUGAGUGGAAUUCCGAGUGUAGAGGUGAAAUUCGUAGAUAUUCGGAGGAACAUCAGUGGCGAAGGCGACUCACUGGCUCGAUACUGACGCUGAGGUGCGAAAGUGUGGGGAGCAAACAGGAUUAGAUACCCUUGUAGUC
Molecule: ribosomal RNA, 439 nt
Filed under: uncultured bacterium
Lineage: Bacteria
Description: partial 16S ribosomal RNA
Rfam family: Bacterial small subunit ribosomal RNA
Source: RNAcentral